GAUGCGACCUCAGCUCAGGCGGGGCCACCCGCUGAGUUUAAGCAUAUCAAUAAGCGGAGRAAAAGAA
Molecule: ribosomal RNA, 67 nt
Filed under: Gilbertiodendron ogoouense
Lineage: Eukaryota; Viridiplantae; Streptophyta; Magnoliopsida; Fabales; Fabaceae
Description: partial 26S ribosomal RNA
Rfam family: Eukaryotic large subunit ribosomal RNA
Source: RNAcentral